Molecule: unclassified non-coding RNA, 266 nt
Filed under: Hevea brasiliensis (rubber tree)
Lineage: Eukaryota; Viridiplantae; Streptophyta; Magnoliopsida; Malpighiales; Euphorbiaceae
Source: RNAcentral
AAGUUUCCUUGGCCACUGCUUGAUCAAGAAGCACACUGUUCCUCUUGUAGUAAAGUUCCUUGAUAUCCAACAAGUCCUUCUCUGCCCUCGUGACGAUCACACGAGUAAUUGCAUCCUCAUCAGUCCCAAACUUUCUGAUUGCAUUCCUCAAAAUCUUCUCAUAGUACUUAAGAGGUUCGUUUAUGCAUCGAAUGGCUAUGCGAAGCAAGCGUUUGAACUCAUUAUCAGCAGGCUCACCCAACAAAGCCUUAGUGAUGGAAGUUCCC